Long non-coding RNA from Homo sapiens (human), 1579 nucleotides. NCBI's taxonomy places the organism in Eukaryota, Metazoa, Chordata, Mammalia, Primates, Hominidae. The record is from Ensembl.
ACAGGCAGCGGCGGCCGACAGCCAGGCAGGAGGAGGGCGGAGGAGCGGCGCACAGCCUCCACCAGAGCAUCUGGGGGCUCAAGCCGCCAGAGAGCCCUGGAGACUAGCCAGCAAAGGACAAGGCUAGCAUGGGCAUUUACCCCACUGCCUCAGCUGCCUCACCAGGAAUGCAGGAGAUGCAGAUGCACGGAUGAGAAAGCUUUGCCUGUCCCAAUGCACAGCGAUGCCUGACGCUGCCUCAGAGUACCUGUGCUCUGCCCAUCCAGCUUCUGGUCAUCCGAGGCCCAGGUCCCAAAGGGGCGUGGGAGGAGAUGGUGGGAGAGACAGCUAGGCCCCAUGCUGGACACCUGAGAGGGAGACCCUGGCUUUGUGUUGAGGUAAGUUCGAGAGAUCUGAGACUACCCUUGACUGUGGAUCGGCAGUAGUAGGAAUCUAACUCGCUCUCUGUCGUUGUUUUUUUUCUUUACACCGAGUCGUGCUCUGUCGCCCAGGCUGGAGUACAGUGGUGCAAUCUCAGCUCACUGCAACCUCCGUCUCUCAUGUUCAAGCAAUUCUCAUGCCUCAGCCUCCCGAGUAGCUGGGAUUACAGGCGCCCACCACCAUGCCCGGCUAAGUUUUGUAUUUUUUAGUAGAAAUGGGGUUUCACCAUGUUGGCCAGGCUGGUCUCGAACUCCUGACCUCAAGUGAUCCACCUGCCUCGGCCUCCCAAAGUGCUGGGAAAACAGGCGUGAGCCACCGCACCUGGCCUCUGUCAUCUUUUUUUAGAGACAAGUUCUCGCUCUGUCACCCAGGCUGGAGCACAGUGGUGUGAUCACAGAUCACUGCAGCCUUGAAUUCCUGGGCUCAAGUGAUCCUCCCACCUCAGCCUCCCUGAGCAGCUGGGACUACAGACACACGCCACCACAGCAGGCUAAUUUUUAAAUUUUUUAUAGCGAGAGGGUCUUGCUGUGUUGCCCAGGCAGGUCUUGAACUCUUGGCCUCAAGCAAUCCUCCUGCCUCAACCUCCCAACGUGCUGGGAUUAACAGGCAGGAGCCACUAUACCCGGCCAACUCUCUUUGAUCUUAAACCAAAGAAAUGAGAUUUCUCCGAAGCCAGAGUUAUAAGUGAUGGGGGUCAAUUGUGAGGAACUGAAUGGAUUUAACUGUGAAUGGUGUAGAACUUAUUCUACAGCACACUAAGGUCAAAUCAGAUCUGUAUUCUCCUACGCAAACAGUAGGAAAUGUGGGAGAUUAUGUGAUACUGAAAAAAAAAAUGGAAAAGGAAAGCAAUUCAUUUUCUUCACUGUUACAAAACAUCACUUUUGUGUGUAUAAACCUGGAAUCAAUUAUUCAACUUCCCUUAUGGAUAAAGCAUAACUUGUAAUAAACAGCAAAGAGGGUUGUUCAUUUCACUUAAUGAUAAAUAAAAUGAUGUUUGACCAAUUUGAUGAAGACAGUAAGUCAAACUUAAAUGGUCGGGCAUUUUAUGUUGCUGAAACUACUAAUCUUAUUAAGAAGCUUUUCACAUUUAAAAUAUGCAAAAUGCAAGCAAAAUUUAGUAGAGAAAGUAAAGUUAAAUAUUUAAUGACAUAAUUAAGUC